GAGAGCAUCUUUAACUCUCCAGGGAUUACUAAAAUAUCAAGAUACAACUCAAGUCGUUUUUGUGUCCUGCCAGACAUAUCAAUAUACUGCAUCUAUUUUAAAUUUUCACCAAUGACCUCGGAACAAGCCGUUUUUCAUACCUCAAGGUCAUCUUUCAUUUUAUUCUCUGGAGAAAUAUAUACCUUGGACUUUUGGUCCAAAAAUAUCUCAUUUUUCUAACGAGCUUUACAUCGAAUUGAUGGCCAAUCAAUUCACUCUACCCUCAUACAUAGAGGUAGAUUCAUAAUCCUUAUUUAUAUAGCGAUUUUUUUCAUUUUCUUGUCGACAAUCUAUUUUCUCUUUGGUUUCCAUCUUUUUAUCCGUACUGAUAUGGUUAAUCGAGAUCUUUUUAUCAUCAUCAAUGAUUUACCCAGGUACCUGACUAUUAUAUUAACCAUAUCAACGGCCU
This 448-nucleotide long non-coding RNA is filed under the name Brassica napus (rape). RNAcentral's name for it is "long non-coding RNA (BNAP_LNC021676)". The record is from RNAcentral. Lineage: Eukaryota; Viridiplantae; Streptophyta; Magnoliopsida; Brassicales; Brassicaceae.